UACGUAGGGAGCAAGCGUUGUCCGGAAUCAUUGGGCGUAAAGCGCGCGUAGGCGGCCCGAUAAGUCCGCUGUAAAAGUCAACGGCUCAACUGUUGAAAGCCGGUGGAUACUGUCGGGCUAGAGUACGGAAGAGGCAAGUGGAAUUCCUGGUGUAGCGGUGAAAUGCGUAGAUAUCUGGAGGAAUACCGGUGGCGAAGGCGGCAUCCUGGACCGGCAUUGACGCUGAUGAGCGAAAGCUAGGGGAGCAAACGGG
RNAcentral lists this ribosomal RNA (253 nucleotides) under uncultured bacterium. RNAcentral describes it as "partial 16S ribosomal RNA". It matches the Rfam family "Bacterial small subunit ribosomal RNA", at positions 524 to 776 of the family's 1533-position model. The record is from RNAcentral.